This 513-nucleotide ribosomal RNA is filed under the name uncultured bacterium. Its description in RNAcentral is "partial 16S ribosomal RNA". It matches the Rfam family "Bacterial small subunit ribosomal RNA", at positions 28 to 507 of the family's 1533-position model. The record is from RNAcentral.
GACGAACGCUGGCGGCGUGCUUAACACAUGCAAGUCGAACGAAAAGAGGGAAAGAGCUUGCUCUUUCCGGAAUUGAGUGGCGAACGGGUGAGUAACACGUAAACAACCUGCCUUCAGGAUGGGGACAGCAGACGGAAACGAAUACUAGUAACGAAUAAGUUCCAAGAGCCGCGUGGCCCAUGGAAGAAAAGGUGGCGUCUACCUGUACGCUAUCGCCGGAUGAGGGGUGGGCGGCGGAUUAGCAGGGUUGUGGGGCAACGGCCCACCAAGGCGACGAGCAGGCGCAGGACUGAGAGGAUGAGUGGCCAGACUGGGAGGGAGACACGGCCCAGAGGCCUACGGGAGGCAGCAGUGCGGAAUCGGGCGGCAUGGGCGAAAGCUUUAGCGAGCAAGGCCGCGGGCGGGAUGACCGACGUCGGGUGGUAAAUCUCGGUGAUCCGGGAGGAAACGGCAGAGUGCGGAGAACAAGCGGCAGUGACGGUACCGGAAAAGGAAGCCACGGCUAACUACGUG